AUUAACUGAGACUACUGAGUUACAAUGAGACCAGUAUCAACAAUUUCAAAAAGGUAUUGUACAAAAAUAUUACAAACAUAAGACACUUUAAAGACAGAAAAAACACGAAGUAUGUCACUACAGAAACUGUAUUCUGUGAUAUAGAUGAUAUUGCUUUAAAGAAACUUGCAGCUUUUAGCAGUUGUGUGAGGGCCUGUUUAUAUCGAAACUGGCUGGCCUGCUAAGUGAGACAGCCCGGUAAGUGAGAUCUCGCUGUCUAGUUAUUUUUAUAGUACAAAUUAUCAUUUCUAUGGACAAGCGGGCAGGCCCGGUUGCCAAGACCAGGAUGGAAAUUUCUCCACAUAAACAAUCAUAAGCAGGCUAGCCCGGUUGCCGGGAUGAAAGUUCAAAGAUACAGCCGCAAGCUAUUUUUGACAACUGUCAAAAUAAUGUCAAAACAACAAAAUUGUCCCGGUAAGCGGAAUGAAAUUUUCUCAAAUAAACACAAGAGAAAUCAUCCUGCUUACCUACCUUACCGGGCUGUCUUGCUAAGCGGGCCAGCCCGGCUUCCAUACAAACAGGCCCUAACAGUCUCUGUCAGGCAAUUACAAUGUUCUAAUGUCCAAACUCUAAAGUAUUAUAAACAAGCAGAACAGACCACUUAUUGCAAGUUGUUGUAAGUCAUAUCAACAUGUGAUCUCGACAAUAUACAGUGUAUAAACUAAAGUAAUUCAGCUUCUACACAUGAAGCGACUUUAAACACUAUCCUUACACUUUAUCAAUUCAUUGAAGUUUGUUUUUGUACUUAAAAGACAUUUUAUUUGUAGUAUUAAAUCAUAAGACAUAUUCUAUUUGUAGUAUCAAGUCACAUCAGGAUUUUAUAAUCUAGCGUCUUUGGACCCAAG
Molecule: non-coding RNA, 884 nt
Organism: Paramuricea clavata
Lineage: Eukaryota; Metazoa; Cnidaria; Anthozoa; Malacalcyonacea; Plexauridae
Source: the annotation of a GenBank genome assembly